Molecule: ribosomal RNA, 253 nt
Filed under: uncultured bacterium
Lineage: Bacteria
Description: partial 16S ribosomal RNA
Rfam family: Bacterial small subunit ribosomal RNA
Source: RNAcentral
UACGUAGGCAGCGAGCGUUGUUCGGAAUUACUGGGCGUAAAGAGUGUGUAGGCGGCGCUCUAAGUUCGGUGUGAAAUCUCUCGGCUUAACUGGGAGGGUGCGCCGGAAACUGGAGUGCUCGAACGUGGGAGAGGAAAGCGGAAUUCCUGGUGUAGCGGUGAAAUGCGUAGAUAUCAGGAGGAACACCUGCGGUGUAGACGGCUUUCUGGACCAUUGUUGACGCUGAGCUGCGAAAGCUAGGGGAGCAAACAGG